This is a long non-coding RNA of Equus caballus (horse), 2999 nucleotides long. The record is from Ensembl. NCBI's taxonomy places the organism in Eukaryota, Metazoa, Chordata, Mammalia, Perissodactyla, Equidae.
GACAAGCCAGGCGCUUUUUCUGUGGGAACCAGGGUGUACUUGAAGAAAUCACCCAGAGACCACGGCAGAGAGGAACGAUCUGUUACCAUUCUCUCAAUUUGGCCUGCUUUUAUUUCUCUAAGAUCUCAGUUUGCAAUGCGGGGGUGUUACCCUGCUGUUUUUCCCCCUGGCAGAAAUGACAGCCAUGAAAAUCUCCAGGCUGCAUUUGAGCAGGUAUUUGUCAAUUUGAGCAGCAUAUAUUGAAUAAUAAUGAUAGUUAAUUCAGUGCUAAUUAUGUGCCAAGGAACAUUCUGAGUAUUUUACAGGAAUCAACUCACUGAAUCCUCACAACAACCCUAUGAGCAUGAAGGACAUUGGUUUCAGGUCUACACAGAACAAAAUGUAAUGGCACACUGGCAAAACUGAGCCACUUGGAGCUAUGGAAUAAACAUCUUACAUAUCUGAAUAUUUCACAGCAGAAUGCCUACACUUUGCUGUAAAUUCACGGAUAACGUGUAUAGGACUGUUGGUAUUCUCACUUUUCUGAAUAACUGGAAUGUGCAGACUUAAUCUUGGAGGAACAGUGAAUUUAAGGAGUAGACUUUAUGGCGUGAAUCUAAGAGGUGCUCCAGACUGGCCGUUGUUACUUGGUUGGCUUGUGGCCCAUGUGCAGUUCAGCGGGGUCUUGACACAGACUGGGGCAAAAAGAGGAAAUAACUACUUGAAAGUAGGGAUUCUAACCCACUGACCAAAAAGUCCCCGCUGGAAUUCUUCUCUGACUCAACUCAUUUCCUCCCAGCUUUCUGGUACGAUGGGUUUUUUUGUUUAUUUGGUUUUGCCUUUCAAUCUCUGAUAAAUCUGAAUUAUAGUCACUCUGUGAUGUGUGCUAUAGAAAAAAACAAAAAAGUAGAUUGUUUAGAAUCCUUGUUUAAACUGGAAUAACUGAUUCAGCUUUGAAAGUAAUACAUGAUCAUUUCCUGACCGGCAAAAGACCCCAAAUCCUGUGUGACCAGCGUUCGCAUUUAUGCAACUAAAAUGCCUCGAGUUUGUUUGCUGUCGUUGGGGGCUGGAUAGAAACGCCCUGCUGAUUGUCUAAAAUACGGUUGGCAGAGUCACUGACUAGAUAAUCUUACUUAGCUUGCAAACGUUGUUAGAAAACCAGCACAUGUCAUAUCAUAUUGUUUUUAAUGCAGUAAAGAGUCAGAUGAUACUGCACAGCUUGCACUGCGCGGGAAGGCCAUGUGCAGGCCUGGCUGCUCUGCUCGCCGAGUCCAAAUCAAUUAUGCUCUAAUCAAGACUGUUUCCGGAACUGGUCGGAUGGAAGUUCAGAGUGAAAAGGAAAAAUUGCUAUUUCUCUCCAGAUCCUGUUUGCAUCAGCAGACUCCAUCUGAGACACAUCCUGUGUGACCCCUGGCGUAGUGGGGGAGGGAGACUCUUCUGUUUGACUUUUGACUGUCGCUAAUCUGAAGGCCUUCACUUUUUUUUUUUUCAGGAAAAGUUUGAAUUAGUAUUAAAACCCAGUCAUCAUCCUCAGUCCAUAAGGAUACAGAGUCUGGGCUAUUCAUUUUCUCAAAUAGUGCAUCAGAAUCCCCAGGAAACUUAUUUAACAUGCAGAUUUCCAGCCCUACUUUGAGACACACUCUCUAGGAAGGUGCUGUUCUUGCAAACUACCCAGAUGACUCUGAAGUGCAAUCAAAUUCAAGAACUUGCAUCAGGACGAGGACUGCUCAAAUCCAGCUUCCUAAUCUUACGCCGUGGAGCCCAGCCGGGCCCAACUUCCCCACUGAUGCUCUAUUCCUGGGAAAAUUGUUUUGAAUUUGGGACACUUAAAAGGGACCUCCAAGAUAUGCCCCUGCCUGUGUGUGCAGGAAGACUUCAGGACAUCACCUGCAUGCAUUCCCAGGGAGGGGUGAGUGAGCCUGUCGUAAGGGGGGGUCUCCCAUCCGACUCUCACCAAGUUUUCACCAACACAUGUCAAAAAGAAAAAUAAGGGUAGAGGUAAAUUUAUUCAAAUUAUUUUGUGAUUCAUUAGCCAUAUCUUUCUGGAGAUGUUAAAAUGCCUGUCUUACUCUGUUCGGGCUGCUAUAACAAAAUACCACAGACUGGGUAGCUAUGAACAGAAAUUUAUUCUUCACAGUUCUGGAGACUAGGAAGUCCAAGAUGAAGGUUCCAGCAUGGGCAGUGGCUGCUGAGGAGCCCCUUCCUGAUUCAUCGCCACCACCUUCCCCUGUUCCUCACAUGGGGCAAGGAGCUAGGAAUCCAGAGGGAGCCUCUUUUAUAAAUCCCUAGUCCCAUUGUUCAGCACCUCCCAAAGGCCCCACCUCCUAAUAUCAUCGCCUUUUGGGCUAGGGUUUCAACAUACGAAUUUCGAGGGGACACAAACAUUUAGACCCUAGCAACAUCUGUUCUUUUAGAGAUUUAUUUUCAAUUUACUUACUUAUGUUUUGAAUCAUUGAUAUAUGAUGCCCCUUGCACAAAAUUCAAAAUGUACAAAAAUUUCCUACAUUGACAAUAUGGGAAAUCUCCCUCCUACCCCAGAAUUCUUGUUCCCAAACCCAGAAGCAGCGACUGUUACCAAUUUCUCAUUCUUCAAGAAAUGCUCUAUGCAUAUACAAGCAGAUAGAUUUACAGAAACUUUUUUUUUUUUUUUUGGUUAGGAAGAUUGGCCCUCAGCUAAGAUCUGUGCCAAUCUUCCUCUAUUUUGUAUGUGGGUUGCUGUCACAGCAUGGCUUGAUGAGCAGUGUAUAUGUUUGUGCCCAGAACCCAAACCUGGGAACCCUGGGCUGCUGAAAUGUGUGUGAGUGUGUGAAUUUAACCACUACACCACUGGGCCAGCAGGGAAACUCAUUUUUAAUACAUCAGGUAGCAUCUUGCAUCUUGCUUUAUUCACUUAACAAUAUAUUUUGGAGAUACUUCCAUGUCAGUACAUUUGGGGAAUCUUUUUUUUAAUUAAAUGAUAGUGAUGAUAUAUUGUAGCUAGGCAUUUUUUAAAUGUCCUAAAGACUAUACACACACACACA